CACCUCAGCAUUUGGGUUGCUCCUUGCUGAUCUUACCUGAAGUCUGAAGCUGAACAGAGUCAGGCCAAUUUAGUACUUGGAUGGAAGACCACCUGGGAAUCCUAGAUGCUGUAGGGU
RNAcentral lists this ribosomal RNA (117 nucleotides) under Salvator merianae (Argentine black and white tegu). Lineage: Eukaryota; Metazoa; Chordata; Lepidosauria; Squamata; Teiidae. The record is from RNAcentral.